RNAcentral lists this ribosomal RNA (253 nucleotides) under uncultured bacterium. RNAcentral describes it as "partial 16S ribosomal RNA". It matches the Rfam family "Bacterial small subunit ribosomal RNA", at positions 524 to 776 of the family's 1533-position model. The record is from RNAcentral.
UACGUAGGGUGCGAGCGUUAAUCGGAAUUACUGGGCGUAAAGCGUGCGCAGGCGGUUUGUUAAGACAGAUGUGAAAUCCCCGGGCUUAACCUGGGAACUGCAUUUGUGACUGGCAAGCUAGAGUAUGGCAGAGGGGGGUAGAAUUCCACGUGUAUCAGUGAAAUGCGUAGAGAUGUGGAGGAAUACCGAUGGCGAAGGCAGCCCCCUGGGCCAAUACUGACGCUCAUGCACGAAAGCGUGGGGAGCAAACAGG